AACGUAGGACACAAGCGUUAUCCGGAGUUACUGGGCGUAAAGGGCGUGUAGGCGGAUGUAUAAGUCUAUUCUAAAAGCUCCUGGCUAAACUGGGAGAGGCGAAUGGAGACUGUAUGUCUAGAGUGAGGAAGAGGAAAGUGGAAUUCCGCGUGUAGUGGUGAAAUGCGUAGAGAUGCGGAGGAACACCAGUGGCGAAAGCGACUUUCUGGUCCUUAACUGACGCUGAGGCGCGAAAGCAUGGGGAGCAAACAGG
Molecule: ribosomal RNA, 253 nt
Filed under: uncultured bacterium
Lineage: Bacteria
Description: partial 16S ribosomal RNA
Rfam family: Bacterial small subunit ribosomal RNA
Source: RNAcentral